UUUGAAACUUGAAUUAUUUCAACCUCAGAUCAAGUAGGAUUACCCGCUGAACUUAAGCAUAUCAAUAAGCGGAGGAAAAGAAACCAACAGGGAUUGCCUUAGUAACGGCGAGUGAAGCGGCAAAAGCUCAAAUUUGAAAUCGGCCAACCGGUCGAGUUGUAAUUUGUAGAUUGUACCUUGAGAGCAGAUCAAAGUCUGUUGGAACACAGCGCCUUAGAGGGUGACAGCCCCGUAAGAUCUUUUCUCAUUGUAAGGUACUCUCGAAGAGUCGAGUUGUUUGGGAAUGCAGCUCUAAGUGGGAGGUAAAUUCCUUCUAAAGCUAAAUAUUGACGAGAGACCGAUAGCGAACAAGUACUGUGAAGGAAAGAUGAAAAGCACUUUGAAAAGAGAGUGAAAAAGUACGUGAAAUUGUUAAAAGGGAAGGGUAUUGAAUCAGACGUGGUGCUGUUGUUCAGCUUUGCUUCGGCAUGGUGUACUCAACAGUACUAGGCCAAGGUGGGGUGUUUGGGAGUGAAAAAGAAAUAGGAAUGUGGCUCUUCGGAGUGUUAUAACCUAUUUUCAUAACUCCUCAGGCGCCUCAGGACUGCGCUUCGGCAAGGACAUUGGCAUAAUGAUUCUAUACCGCCCGU
RNAcentral lists this ribosomal RNA (629 nucleotides) under Galactomyces sp. UFMG-CM-Y2816. RNAcentral describes it as "eukaryotic LSU rRNA". It matches the Rfam family "Eukaryotic large subunit ribosomal RNA", at positions 1 to 652 of the family's 3401-position model. The record is from RNAcentral. Lineage: Eukaryota; Fungi; Ascomycota; Dipodascomycetes; Dipodascales; Dipodascaceae.